Lepus europaeus (European hare) is the source of this 390-nucleotide non-coding RNA. NCBI's taxonomy places the organism in Eukaryota, Metazoa, Chordata, Mammalia, Lagomorpha, Leporidae. The record is from the annotation of a RefSeq genome assembly.
AUGAGGACACUCGCAGGACCUUUCUUCCUGUUCCUGUGGCUGCAGCUGCACUGUGUGAGUGGAGGAGAGAAGGUGGAGCAGAGUCCUUCUUUCCUGAGUGUCCGGGAGGGAGACAGCUGUGUUAUGAACUGCACUUACACAGACAGUGCCUCUGACUACUUCUUUUGGUAUAAGCAAGAACCUGGAGCAGGUCUCCAGUUCCUUAUAAAUAUUCUCUCAAAUGCGGAUAAGAAAGAAGAGCAAAGGCUCACCGUCCUCAUGAACAAGAAGGACAAGCGUCUCUCCCUGCACAUCUCAGCUGCCCGUCCUGCAGACUCAGCCACCUACUUCUGUGCUGCAAGAGCACAGUGCUCCCCAGGCACCUGCAGCCUCUACCCAAACCCGCAGUGA